AUGGUCAUAGAUAGUUUCAUAAAUACCUUUUCCAAGUACUUAUUCCAUAAUCCCUUCGCCCUCAGCAAGAAACUCAGUUGUCUGUGGUUCUCUGCCUAGUAAUGUGACCCAAACAUUUAUUACUGAAAGGAGCUCGGAAGAGCAAACGUCUG
This is a non-coding RNA of Vicugna pacos (alpaca), 152 nucleotides long. Lineage: Eukaryota; Metazoa; Chordata; Mammalia; Artiodactyla; Camelidae. The record is from RefSeq and is a predicted model, not a curated record.